CCUCCAGAGAAAAGAAAGGGCUACAGGAAUGCAAGCCACAUGCUGUCUGACAGAGGUAUUAGAGAAAAGAGAAGAACAAUUCCAAGGGAUGAAAUGGUUCAAAGAUCUAAACGGAUCUAUGAGCAGCUGCCAGAGGUGCAGAAAAAGCGAGAGGAAGAGAAGAGGAAAAUGGAAUACAACUCCUAUCGACUGAAGGCCCAGCUUUACAAAACAAAGAUCACCAACCGUGUCUUGGGGAGGAAGGUGCCUUGGAACUGAUAAAGAUCUGUUCAGAUGAAGUUGUCUGGUUCUUGGUAACCUUGCAGCAGGCAGGAGAUUGUGAUGUGACAGAGAUAAAGCAGUAAAUACGUGUGCAGUGGAUGCUUUGUGGUAUUCAGUUGUGUGGUUUUUGUACUAGUAUCAUCUCUCUGUAUUUAAGAAUCAAUGUUUUGAUACGAAUGGCAGGUUUUAAAAUAAAGGACUGGUUUUGUAGUGGUGUUAUGCACUUCACAAGUGAACACAAUUUGGAACUACUCAGUUCACAAUGUAUUUAUAACUCCCUGAUUGUAAAGCAGUUUUAUAUGUAUUUAUUUCAAAUUGGUUUUGACAAUUUUUUUAGGGUUUUUAUUUCCUCUCUCAAUGUAGAAAACACACUUGUAAUGUUUUGUACUGCAAAAGCCCCUUAAAUAAAUAACAUCAAAUCUGUUUCUAGUAAUCAUUGCAGCAAUCAUGAAUGUAUCUUUGCUGUCGUAUGGGCAACAUCUGGG
This 746-nucleotide long non-coding RNA is filed under the name Strigops habroptila (Kakapo). Its description in RNAcentral is "lncRNA (ENSSHBG00005020177.1)". The record is from RNAcentral. Lineage: Eukaryota; Metazoa; Chordata; Aves; Psittaciformes; Psittacidae.